Molecule: RNA transcript, 2467 nt
Organism: Schistocerca gregaria
Lineage: Eukaryota; Metazoa; Arthropoda; Insecta; Orthoptera; Acrididae
Exons: 4
Source: RefSeq, a predicted model, not a curated record
UCUUCUUCUUCUUCUUCUUCUUCUUCUUCAACAUCUACAUCCUUACCAUAGGAUGUAGCCCAGGAAGUUUGACUCAACAUACAAGUUAACAAAUUUCUCUAGUAAAUGUAACUCUGAUGUAUGUAAUUGUCCAGCACACCCAUCACCACAAAAGCAAAUAAUGAAGACUGGAAAUUUUUCCUUUAGAGGACCAUGGAUGCUGGUGUUAACAACUAUCUAGGCUGAGUACUUAUGCAAGACAUUUCCUCCCAUAUAGUAUGUGACAGCUUUGGUUUUCCAUUAAUCCAGGCACUACUCAUAAAAGUUAUUAGUUCAUGAUUUUUAAGAACAGUGAGUUUAAUUUUAGUAUGUUACUCCAAAAAAUUUGUGGUUUAACUUGGCAUUUCCAAGAUUUUUCCUUCUGUUUCUCUAACUGUUUAAAAACAAUGGACAUUAAAUAAAGACAUAUGUUUUAGAAUCUGAUUCAGUAAAUUCUCAAUGGAGCCAUGUACGUUCACUGUCCCCCGACUGCAACAGAUUUUUUUUCAGUACCAUAGUCACCAGUAUUUUGUAAAUUAUUCACAUGUCGUACUUAUUACAUUGUAUUGUUUUGCAAUGUUCACCUUCAGUACUGUGCCACAUCUUACCAGCUCUGUAGGUUUUCUGGAAAGUUUUCAGUGUAGCAACAUUUCCAAAAAAGUUGAAAUUUGUAUAUUGACGUAGUAUGUAAAUGUUAGGCUGUCUGGGAUGGAAGUAUUUGAGAUGGGCAGAAUUAAUAAAAUAUUUAAUUGUGGAUGUUUAGGUCAGGAUUUUAAAACUAAAAUACCCAUAUGCUUCUGUAAUUUUCAUUGUCCUGUGAUUUUGCAAGGUCAUUCUCUUCCCUUCAUUUAACUAACUUUGUGCUUUUUCUUUCAGGGUAUUUUCAACAGGCAUCACUCAAAUAAAGCUUUCAGACCUUCUCUUAGAUAUCUCAUUCCACACCCACUUGUUGGUUUUUUAUUUUAUUUGAUUAUUUUAAUGCAUAUCUGAUACAUUAUCUAAGAGUUUAGCAAGAACUGCUUUCUUUUAAUUAGACUGUCCAGCAGAAUUUUGUGGACUCAUUUAACUACACUAGAGAAGGAUGGGGCACAUUUGUAGAAUUCAAAUGAUGAUACCGGUUGGUUAGGCAAUCUUAUGGUUGUGUUGAAUAAUCCCUCCAAAACUACAAUGCAGUAUUCUACUGAAGAGGUUCUGGAAGAAAGUGAUGACCCAAGAGCAUAUUUUGAGGAGACCAUUACCACCAUGGCCACCUGCAGAGGCCUGGGCAUAGCAUAUUUAGAUCAUGAGCAUCUGAUAUGUAAACUGUGCAUGUGCAGCCAAUUGUGUGACGGAAGUGUCGCUGACCUUGUGGCCUGUCUCCGUACAGGAACCAAAACUCCUGUAAUGAUAUCAUCUUCACUGAUAAUGAUUGUGAUGGGUGAAGCAUAAAGACAAUGAUCCAAGAAAGAGUUCAGUGUGUGGGAAUGUUUAUUCAGACCAAAUCUGACCUGCAGGGUCAAAGAACUUCCAAGUAUGAAAUAGGAAGCAGCCACCCUCAUAGGCAUUGAUAAGCUGGUGAUACAGCAAUUUUAUGUAGUCAGGAAUCACUGAUGUGAAGCAUCAUACUAGACCACCUGGGACAAAUGAAGCUGACACAGAAUGGAUAUAGUUGGCUUUUCAACACUCACUACAGAAAGUCUGUUUGGAGGGCGUUGCAGAUGCUGCAAAUUCCUGGGAUGACUGUACACCAUGUUCUUUAGAAACAUUUACAGAAGUAUCCAUACUGAGUGCAAUUGUUGGACACACUGAGACCAGACAACAAGCCACAACGUAUGCAUUUUACUGUGCACACCUUUGAACUUUCUUUCGCAAUCCAUAUGGUGAUCAUAGCUUCAUACAGCACUUGCUGUGACAUAGGAAUUUCUGCUGCCAAACUCAUCCUCUGCAUAGUGCCCAAGGAUUACCUCAAGCAAAUAAUAAAAAUGCAAAAUAAAUGUUUCAACAUAUAUCGGAUAGCAUCUACAUGUAAAUGAUAGUUUCUCGGGACCAACCUUGCCCUAUUUAGUUGUUAUUAAAAUUAUAAUAAAAUUAGUUUUAUGCACACUUACUGAAUAAUAAUAAUAAUAAUAAUAAUAAUAAUAAGUGUGUGUGUGUGUGUGUGUGUGUGUGUGUGUGUGUGUGUGUGUGUGUGUGUGUGUAUCGGAUUAUUAUUAAUGUUCUGUGUGUACGAAAUUGUGCUACUGUUCAUUCACUUUACCUUGCAUCGUUUCUCUUUUUUUCUGUGUCCAUCACUAUAUAUAUUUUAAUUAUAUUUGUCAUCUUCUGAAAGCUUCUCCUUCUUGUUAACCUUGUGAAAAUAUGACUGUGGACUUCGUUUCCUACAUUUCAAUUGUAGAUGCAGGCAACCGACUCCAGGGAACACCAGUGCCUCUCAACAUGACAUAAAACAUGAAGGAAAUUCCUCCCAACU